This is an RNA transcript of Talpa occidentalis (Iberian mole), 1405 nucleotides long. It is a transcript of the gene named histone H1.8, with no coding region annotated. The record is from RefSeq and is a predicted model, not a curated record. Lineage: Eukaryota; Metazoa; Chordata; Mammalia; Eulipotyphla; Talpidae. The transcript has 6 exons.
AGCCCAGCCCUCCUGCCCCAUCAGCACCGGAGCCUGGAAGCCAGUCGGGGGCUAAUUGAGUGGGGGCGGGCGCUGUUAUAUAAGUCAGAGGCAGGCCUGGCAGCCACACACCUGGGGAGGGGUCGGUCGCUGCAUCUGUUCCUGCGAUGGCUCCCAUGGCUCUCGGGAGCGUCACCUCUACCUCCUCCUCCGAGACCACCUCCUCCCUGACCUCAACCUCUGCAGCGUGUUCCUCAGGGUCAGCGGGACCUGGAAAGCCAGGCCCGAGCCACACUGGGACCCACCGGAUGCGCCGCCAUCCUCCUGUGCUGAGCAUGGUGCUGGAGGCGCUGAAGGCGGGUGAGCAGCGCCGGGGCACCUCGGUGGCAGCCAUCAAGGUUUACAUCCUGCACAAGUACCCAGCUGUGGACGUCAUCCGCCUCAAGUACCUGCUGAAGCAGGCCCUGGCCACGGGCCUGAACCGCGGCCUCCUCGCCAGGCCUGCCAACUCCAAGGCCAAGGGCGCCACAGGCAGCUUCAAGCUGGUUCCCAAGCGCAAAAGGAAACCCCAGCCCAGGAAGACCUCCACCAAGACAGCGCCCAGAAACACGGGGGCGGCCAAAGAAAAGGCCCCCAAGAAACCCAGCAAGGCAAAGAAGGCCCCUCUCAACCUAGGCCAGGCCAACAGGGAGCCCAGGAAGCCAGGAGAGGGGAGGGCGGCUCCCCCCAAGCCAGGUGCAGCCAAGAAGAAGACCCCCAAGGAACCCAGCGAGGCAAAGAAAGACCCUCCCAACCCAGGCCCUGUGAAAAGGGGGCCCAAGAAGCCAGGAGAGGGGAGGCCGAUGGCUCCCCUCAAACCAGCCAAAGGGAAGGCUCCCCCAAAAGGUGGCCAGAUCAAGGACGAAGAGGCAAGACCGGGCAAGGCCAGGAAGACCCCCCAGCAGCCAGACAAGGCCACGAAGGCCCCUCCUGCUGGGAAGGCAAGGACCACGGGCAGGGACAACCAAGCAGGUGCCCAGGCCCUCAGCAAGACGGGAGCCAAGAGUCGGAGCUCAAAGCCCACAGUCGCCAAGGGUAGCCACCUUUGACCCGCCCCCUGCAUUUGUGGGGCUGCCACGGAGACGCUGGUUACGGGAAGCAAGGACCCAGGGGAGCAGACCCGGGAAUGACCGGCCCCCACAAGCAGGGCUACAGUUAAUGCACAUUUGCUGAGAGAAAGGAGUUUCUGGCCCCCACUAAAGCAGCCCCUGCCCACCGAGAUCGACGUCCUCUGCACGCGGCCACUGUGAGUAGGGCACGUUCUUGCAGAAAGCUUCCAGGAUCUUCUCCUUCACCUGCGUCAGCGUGUCGGUGUCCAUGGCCCGCACGCUCAGUGAGUCCAUGCCGCAGCCCUGGAAGGACACGUUCAGGUUCUGCAGGAGAGAGG